Molecule: transfer RNA, 74 nt
Filed under: Candidatus Peregrinibacteria bacterium CG11_big_fil_rev_8_21_14_0_20_46_8
Lineage: Bacteria; Candidatus Peregrinibacteriota
Description: tRNA-Ala
Rfam family: tRNA
About the family: Transfer RNA (tRNA) molecules are approximately 80 nucleotides in length. Their secondary structure includes four short double-helical elements and three loops (D, anti-codon, and T loops).
Source: RNAcentral
GGGGCUGUAGUUCAAUGGUAGAACACAUCCAUGGCAUGGAUGUGGUACGAGUUCGAUUCUCGUCAGCUCCACCA